AAUUUAAAUGAGAUUUUCUUUCUAAUAUUCCAGUGUGACCCAAGUGGCUGUCUACUUGAACUGAUGGCACAGCUGACUAUAAUCAUGGGAGGACAGUCCAUCUGGAAUAACAUACAAGAGGUGUUACUUCCAUCCUGUGGCUUAAAGAGGGUAACUGAUUUGCCCCAGCUCUCAUUGCCAAUAAGAGACCACUGUGGGACUCAGAUGAUUCUGGGAGCAAAAGAAGAAGGACAGUGAUGCCGUGAUCCAGGCUCCCUCUGGGGUCUCCCCAGCACUUGGAUCGGCACCUGGUAUAAAGUAGGUCUCAGUCCGAGCCAGCUGAGUGAGUGAGUGACUCACAGGCAUCGAAUGCAUAACAUCAGUGAAUCAACAGCAUUCUUUGUAGGACUCAGAGAAUAAGCUGAGUGUCCUGUGGUCUUC
Non-coding RNA from Vicugna pacos (alpaca), 420 nucleotides. The record is from RefSeq and is a predicted model, not a curated record. NCBI's taxonomy places the organism in Eukaryota, Metazoa, Chordata, Mammalia, Artiodactyla, Camelidae.